RNAcentral lists this ribosomal RNA (468 nucleotides) under uncultured bacterium. RNAcentral's name for it is "partial 16S ribosomal RNA". It matches the Rfam family "Bacterial small subunit ribosomal RNA", at positions 28 to 507 of the family's 1533-position model. The record is from RNAcentral.
GACGAACGCUGGCGGCGUGCUUAACACAUGCAAGUCGAACGGAAAGGCCCUGCUCUUGUGGGGUGCUCGAGUGGCGAACGGGUGAGUAACACGUGAGUAACAUGCCCUUGACUUUGGGAUAACUUCUGGAAACUCGGGCUCAUACCGGAUAGGAGCUCCUGCUGCGUGGUGGGGGUUGGAAAGAUCCGGCGGUUGGGGAUGGUCUCGAGGCUUAUCAGCUUGUUGGUGAGGUAGUGGCUUACCAAGGUUUUGACGGGUAGCCGGCCUGAGAGGGUGACCGGCGACAAUGGGCCUGAGAUACGGCCCAGACGGCUACGGGACGCAGCAGUGGAGAGUAUUGCACAAUGGGCGGAAGCGUGAUGCAGCAACGCCGCGUGCGGGAUGACGUCCUUCGGGUUAUGAACCGCUGUGUCCGGUGACGAACAGUGAGUGACGGUAAUUGGUAAAAAAGCACCGGCUAACUAUGUG